This 1139-nucleotide long non-coding RNA is filed under the name Sparus aurata (gilthead seabream). RNAcentral describes it as "lncRNA (ENSSAUG00010007991.1)". The record is from RNAcentral. Lineage: Eukaryota; Metazoa; Chordata; Actinopteri; Spariformes; Sparidae.
UUUACACUUCCGGGUUGACCGGAGCGUGAGUGACGAGGAUGAAGGAGCAGAGAGUUAAUGGCGUCGAGCAGCUGACAGUGGACUGUGUGUGUCGUCAGUGUCGUGUUUUAUCACUAACAGACUGUGAAAUGUUGUCGGACGACGUGCUGUGAGUGUGUGAGUUGGACUCUCCAUCGCAGUCGAAGUGUUUGUGUUUUAAUGGACACGAAGCAAGUUCGGCUAAGCUAGCUAGCAGGAGCUAAGCUAGCUAGCAGGAGCUAGGCUAGCGGCCCGGUCAUUGUCGAGAGGACGUCUGCGUGGACGGGAGGAGCUUUGCCGGGUCACCACGAAGAAUGUAGCCGACGGACGGAGCUUCGCUGCCGCAGAGGGACACGGAGGUUUAUCGCUGCGAGCAUUUUGUUUUCACAGACUAACCUCGCCUCAUAACAAGGCCGCGACCUCCUGUUAGCUCGGAGCUAUGUCUGCAAGUCGAGAUUUACACGAUGCCGAUAAUGACGCCAUUGUCUGCCUGUAAGACAUUACGAGACAGUACGCAGGACAACAAACAACCAGAUAUUGCAUCGCAGGCGGAGGCUGUGAGGAGUUCAGCUCGGAGUCGAUCGAGGACAAAGAGGCUGCUGGAAGCGAGACAGAGUGCUAGCUGAGGAUGAGUUGGACCUUUGGAAGUGCGCCGCCAUGGACCUGAUGUCUGAGGAGGAAGACGGCACAAGAUGGCGGGUGUCUGGAUGAAUUGUGCGACCUCCGUCCUUUGGCAUCCGGGAGCUCACCGAGCUCUGCGCCGCACUGCAGUCACAUGAGAGGCGAUUCCGAAGUACAGGGCAGCGCACCACAGACAUCUGCAAAAACAGACACUUCGGUGCUGUAGGAUUUUGGGCCUCUUGUGAGCUUCCCGUUUGUUGUGUGGGCAGAUUAUGCUUUGUACAUGCUGUGUGUUUGUUUGUGCUAAUAAAACUCUUUCUUUGAAUAAACAACUCCUUCCUGGCAAAUGUUGCUUUCCUCAGUAAAUUCAUUCAUGUCAUUGAUGAUACCAUAAAUAUAAAUGAAUGAAUAAAUCAUAUAAAUAUAUAUAUAUAUAUAUAUAUAUAUAUAUAUAUAUAUAUAUAUAUAUAUAUAUAUAUAUAUAUAAAUAAAUAAAUAUA